UGUACACACCGCCCGUCACACCAUGGGAGUGGGCUGCACCAGAAGUAGAUAGCUUAACCUUCGGGAGGGCGUUUACCACGGUGUGGUUCAUGACUGGGGUGAAGUCGUAACAAGGUAGCCCUAGGGGAACCUGGGGCUGGAUCACCUCCUUACUGA
RNAcentral lists this ribosomal RNA (156 nucleotides) under Salinivibrio sp. IB282. RNAcentral's name for it is "partial 16S ribosomal RNA". It matches the Rfam family "Bacterial small subunit ribosomal RNA", at positions 1382 to 1533 of the family's 1533-position model. The record is from RNAcentral. Lineage: Bacteria; Pseudomonadati; Pseudomonadota; Gammaproteobacteria; Vibrionales; Vibrionaceae. RNAcentral also lists the same sequence under 4 other names.